UACCAGAAAUUUUGUGCCUAAGUUGAAGAUUAUCAGUAAUAUUCUCCACCUGCAAACAUCAUUAACAUGUAUGAGUCUCAGUCGUGUAAAUGGAAAGCAUAUAACCAAUUUCCAGCGGCACCUGCAAACAAUGGCUUUGUCAUUGGUACCAAAUAGGCCAUCUGCACAAUGCAUAGCCAAUGCUAUUGAUGGAGAUUUUAGAACCUAAGUCAAUAUGCAUCUGCUAGCAAUACCUACCAAAACACUAGCAUCAUUUACUGUACACAUCAAAGCUUGAUAAAAUAACACAAAUAAUUAAACUAUGGAACCAAAUGCCAACAUGCUAGAAACAUAAAUGUGCAACGACAACAAGCACCUUAAAAAUGCGGACACUACAUAGCUUUCCCUUCGAAUUGAACCUUUAUUUAUUAUAUUCUAUGACUCCCUACUUGCAGAAUAAUAAUCCAUACAUUUUUAUCCCGUUGUUAAUGUUAUAAAGCAUAGCACUGGACAAGGAACCAGAAGCAUUUUAAUAGGCUCAAACACAUAGCAAUCUACUUAACAGCAGAAUUAGCUAAGGGGAAGGCGGCGGGAUAAGUGCAUUCUUAUUGUAACAAAACAAUGAAUACUUAGGACAUCCAAAGCAAAUAAUUCCAUGUAGCUAAGUCGAGAGAGUUACGUAAAACUUCCCAAUUAUCUCCUUUAAUUUCCUGAAAUUUCUAGGAAACCAAACAGGAUAAGAAGAGAGUACCUUCUAGGGAAGGGCAGCGAGGAGAGAGUGCUUGCUCGAAUUCCAAUAAUAUAAGCUGGAAGACCCGUCCCAUGCCAACAGGUUCCCCGGCGCUCGAGCAGCGGCUGCCGUGGAGGAGGGGAGGAAGUGAAGAGCGGGUGGGACUUGAAUGGGAAGUAAUGUACGACGUCGUUUCCCUUUUUUUGGAAAAGUUGCUUUUUUAAAAAAAAUUUACUUUUAGUCCCUAGUAUUUAUCAUAAUUCAUGGAUGGUUUUCAUUCAGCACAAUAC
This 999-nucleotide long non-coding RNA is filed under the name Manihot esculenta (cassava). RNAcentral describes it as "long non-coding RNA (MESC_LNC004265)". The record is from RNAcentral. Lineage: Eukaryota; Viridiplantae; Streptophyta; Magnoliopsida; Malpighiales; Euphorbiaceae.